UUUUUCAACCGUUUCUCAUGAUUAACUAUCUAAAACUCUUUUAAUCAUCACAAUAUUCUUCCUAUCAUAAAUCAUAACCUUUAGUUCAUAAUUCAAAUUCAAGGUAGAGUUAGGAGCUAAGUCUUGAGAGUUCUUUAAGGAGUUUUCUACAAAUUCUAAUAACUUGUUUCAAGACUGAAGUAAGUGAGCAUGAGAGUGAGGAGAAUGUAUCCAUGAGUCUACACUAUCAUC
RNAcentral lists this long non-coding RNA (231 nucleotides) under Solanum tuberosum (potato). RNAcentral's name for it is "long non-coding RNA (STUB_LNC007123)". The record is from RNAcentral. Lineage: Eukaryota; Viridiplantae; Streptophyta; Magnoliopsida; Solanales; Solanaceae.